AAAUGCCUGAGAUGUUAGUUAUUUCUGAUAAAUUCAACCACUGGAUUUAAUACGGGAGCUUGAGUUUCGCUGUAGAUGGCAUGCCUGUUUAUGGACGUCAAAAGCAGAGAGCAGAGCACCCACCUGGUUGUAACUGGGUAUGAAUUUAAAGAAGACGGCAUCUUGGGUAUAAA
This 173-nucleotide non-coding RNA is filed under the name Peptostreptococcaceae bacterium. RNAcentral describes it as "6S RNA". It matches the Rfam family "6S / SsrS RNA". Rfam says of the family: E. coli 6S RNA was the first non coding RNA to be sequenced, but its function was unknown until recently. It consists of 184 nucleotides that fold into an extended hairpin structure with a large single-stranded internal bulge. The 6S RNA specifically associates with RNA polymerase holoenzyme containing the sigma70 specificity factor. The record is from RNAcentral. Lineage: Bacteria; Bacillati; Bacillota; Clostridia; Peptostreptococcales; Peptostreptococcaceae.